UGGGCUCGAACGGCUUAAGACCGCCGUAGAAAUACGGUCUUUCCGCAAGGAACUUGAGUCGAGGUGCUGCAUGGCUGUCGUCAGCUCGUGUCGUGAGAUGUUGGGUUAAGUCCCGCAACGAGCGCAACCCUUGCCCUGUUUUGCCAUCAUUAAGUUGGGAACUAUCAGGGGACCGCCAGCGAUAAGUUGGAGGAAGGUGGGGAUGACGUCAAGUCAUCAUGGCCUUUAUGUCCAGGGCUACACACGUGCUACAAUGGACGGUACAAUGCGCUGCCAACCCGCGAGGGGAGCAAAUCGCAAAAACCGUUACUCAGUUCGGUAGUCGCAGGCUGCAACUCGCCUGCGUGAAGCUGGAAUCGCUAGUAAUGGCGUAUCAGAAUGACGCC
Molecule: ribosomal RNA, 386 nt
Filed under: uncultured Bryobacter sp.
Lineage: Bacteria; Pseudomonadati; Acidobacteriota; Terriglobia; Bryobacterales; Bryobacteraceae
Description: bacterial SSU rRNA
Rfam family: Bacterial small subunit ribosomal RNA
Source: RNAcentral